Molecule: long non-coding RNA, 441 nt
Organism: Leptinotarsa decemlineata (Colorado potato beetle)
Lineage: Eukaryota; Metazoa; Arthropoda; Insecta; Coleoptera; Chrysomelidae
Source: RefSeq, a predicted model, not a curated record
UGUGGCGAAACAUUAUUUGGGGAAUAUAUUAGUUGUUCAGAGUGAAGUGUUUUAAUGUAUUAGUGAUACCUAACAUCAGAAGUGGUUGUAUCUCACGUCAGCAACAUGGGAAAGGGAAGAAGACAUUCUCCUAGCAGUUCUUCGAGUUCUACAAGUUCAUCUAGCUCAUCAAACACUGAAAAAAGACAACGGAAACAUAAGAUAAAAAGAACCAAGCAUAAUUCUAGCAGACUAGGGAUUUUUCGAAUAGUUCGAGGGCGAACAAAAAUUAGGAUGGCCGUGUUAGGAACAACCGCCCUAUAUAUCGAUAGUCCAGUUAUGCGUAAUGAGGAUGAUUCAUGGAAGCAGCUGUUUAUCGGGAGAUAUUCAUUAUUGAGUAGACUAAGUAGGAUACGGUUGUUGUGGCGAAACAUUAUUUGGGGAAUAUAUUAGUUGUUCAGA